GCAAGGGGAGCGGCAGACGGGAGAGUAACACGUGGGAACGUACCCUUCAGUUCGGAACAACCCAGGGAAACUUGGGCUAAUACCGAAUACGUCCGUAAGGAGAAAGAUUUAUCGCUGAAGGAUCGGCCCGCGUCUGAUUAGCUUGUUGGUGAGGUAACGGCUCACCAAGGCGACGAUCAGUAGCUGGUCUGAGAGGAUGAUCAGCCUCACUGGGACUGAGACACGGCCCAGACUCCUACGGGAGGCAGCAGUGGGGAAUAUUGGACAAUGGACGCAAGCCUGAUCCAGCCAUGCCGCGUGGGUGAUGAAGGCCCUAGGG
This 319-nucleotide ribosomal RNA is filed under the name uncultured bacterium. Its description in RNAcentral is "bacterial SSU rRNA". It matches the Rfam family "Bacterial small subunit ribosomal RNA", at positions 86 to 422 of the family's 1533-position model. The record is from RNAcentral.